This 253-nucleotide ribosomal RNA is filed under the name uncultured bacterium. Its description in RNAcentral is "partial 16S ribosomal RNA". It matches the Rfam family "Bacterial small subunit ribosomal RNA", at positions 524 to 776 of the family's 1533-position model. The record is from RNAcentral.
UACGUAGGGUGCAGGCGUUAAUCGGAAUUACUAGGCGUAAAGCGUGCGCAGGCGGUUUGCUAAGACAGGUGUGAAAUCCCCGGGCUUAACCUGGGAACUGCGCUUGUAACUGGCAAGCUAGAGUGUGGCAGAGGGGGGUGGAAUUCCAGGUGUAGCAGUGAAAUGCGUAGAGAUCUGGAGGAACACCGAUGGCGAAGGCAGCCCCCUGGGCUAACACUGACGCUCAUGCACGAAAGCGUGGGGAGCAAACAGG